RNAcentral lists this ribosomal RNA (304 nucleotides) under uncultured bacterium. RNAcentral describes it as "partial 16S ribosomal RNA". It matches the Rfam family "Bacterial small subunit ribosomal RNA", at positions 506 to 807 of the family's 1533-position model. The record is from RNAcentral.
CAGCAGCCGCCGCGGUAAUACGUAGGUGGCAAGCGUUGUCCGGAAUUAUUGGGCGUAAAGGGCUCGCAGGCGGUUUCUUAAGUCUGAUGUGAAAGCCCCCGGCUCAACCGGGGAGGGUCAUUGGAAACUGGGAAACUUGAGUGCAGAAGAGGAGAGUGGAAUUCCACGUGUAGCGGUGAAAUGCGUAGAGAUGUGGAGGAACACCAGUGGCGAAGGCGACUCUCUGGUCUGUAACUGACGCUGAGGAGCGAAAGCGUGGGCAGCGAACAGGAUUAGAUACCCCCGUAGUCCCUGUCUCUUAUAC